Molecule: ribosomal RNA, 429 nt
Filed under: Acidobacteriota bacterium
Lineage: Bacteria; Pseudomonadati; Acidobacteriota
Description: Acidobacteria bacterium partial 16S ribosomal RNA
Rfam family: Bacterial small subunit ribosomal RNA
Source: RNAcentral
UGGGGAAUUUUGGACAAUGGGCGAAACCCUGAUCCAGCCAUCCCGCGUGCGCGAGGAAGGCCUUCGGGUUGUAAAGCACUUUUGGCAGGAAAGAAACGUCAUGGGUUAAUACCCCGUGACACUGACGGUACCUGCAGAAUAAGCACCGGCUAACUACGUGCCAGCAGCCGCGGUAAUACGCAGGGUGCAAGCGUUAAUCGGAAUUACUGGGCGUAAAGCGUGCGCAGGCGGUUCGGAAAGAAAGAUGUGAAAUCCCAGAGCUCAACGUUGGAACUGCAUUUUUAACUACCGGGCUAGAGUGUGUCAGAGGGAGGUGGAAUUCCGCGUGUAGCAGUGAAAUGCGUAGAUAUGAGGAGGAACACCGAUGGCGAAGGCAGCCUCCUGGGAUAAAACUGACGCUCAUGCACGAAAGCGUGGGGAGCAAACAGG